CCUACGGGUGGCAGCAGUGGGGAAUAUUGGACAAUGGGGGGAACCCUGAUCCAGCGACGCCGCGUGAGUGAAGAAGGAUUUCGGGAUGUAAAGCUCUAUCAGCAGGGAAGAAAAUGACGGUACCUGAAUAAGAAGCCCCGGCUAACGACGGGCCAGCAGCCGCGGUAAGACGGAGGGGGCAAGCGUUAUCCGGAUUUCCUGGGUGUAAAGGGAGCGUAGACGGUGCAGCAAGUCUGAGGUGAAAGGUCGGGGCCCAACCCCGGGACUGCAGUGGAAACUGUGGCACUGGAGUACAGGAGAGGUAAGCGGAAUUCCUAUUGUAGCGGUGAAAUGCGUAGAUAUUAGGCGGAACACCAGUGGCGAAGGCGGCUUACUGGACUGUAACUGCCGUUGAGGCUCGAAAGCGUGGGGAGCAAACAGGAUUAGAUACCCGAGUAGUC
This 440-nucleotide ribosomal RNA is filed under the name uncultured bacterium. Its description in RNAcentral is "partial 16S ribosomal RNA". It matches the Rfam family "Bacterial small subunit ribosomal RNA", at positions 338 to 795 of the family's 1533-position model. The record is from RNAcentral.